This is a long non-coding RNA of Perca flavescens (yellow perch), 1390 nucleotides long. RefSeq lists it as uncharacterized. Lineage: Eukaryota; Metazoa; Chordata; Actinopteri; Perciformes; Percidae. The record is from RefSeq and is a predicted model, not a curated record. The transcript has 2 exons.
CCAUGAUUUCCUCGCCUCCCUCCCGUGCCUCCUUGGUGGGAGGGACAUUAGCUGUCAUGUCGCUUAUUUGAUAGCUCCUUGACUCCUCGGGCCUUGGCUGAACCGGAAGUAGUUCAGUGCAGGAAUCGAGGAGGGAUCAUUGAGGAGCUAUAGGCAAGGAUACACAAGAGCAGCUUUCCCGGAAGCCGUGCAGAUGAAGGAGUUGCUAACUCUAAAAACGCAUUUGCACGUUUCCUCUCUCCUCCCAUGAUUUUCUCGCAUCUCUCCCGUGCGUCCUUUGUGGGAGGGAAUAAGACGCGAGGAAGGGAGGCAAGUGGAGGAGUCGGUGAUGCGAUUUAAGGGCUAUGGGAUGCACCUUAAGACGCAAGGAAGGGAUUCAAGUGGAGGCCUUGAGGAGGCAAUUUAAGCGACAUGAAAUGCAGCGAGGGAAAAACAUAGAGAAGGAAAACCUGUGAUACCAACAUGUGUUUGUUCAUUUGCACAUUAUAAAGCCUUCUUAAUAGCCUUACUGCAAAAAAUUACAGACCCUUAGGUGCUGAGGGUGUCCACACAACUCUUCCACCCUCUUUUGCCACUUUUGACUCCAACACCAUCAUCAAGUUUGCUGACGACACAGCUGUGGUGGUCCGGAUCACAGACAACAAUGAACAGCCCUACCUGAAAGAAGUAGAGGGCCUGACCCGCUGGUGUCGGGACAACAACAUAGUACUCAUGAAUGUCAGCAAGACCAAAGAGGUGAUAGUGGACGUUGGUAAGAAGCAGGAAAGGAACUACACCUCCCUUAUUAAUAUGAACAGGUCCUCUGUGGAGAUGGUGGACAGUUUCAAGUACCUUGGUGUCCACAUCACCGAGGGAGGGUCUGACCUGGGCGCUGCAUACUAUCUCAGUGGUGAGAAAGGCAAGGCACAGACUGUUUCACCUCAGAUGGCUGAGGUGUAGCCCCCCUGUAUCCCUUUAAAUACUGAGCAAGUUCUACUCCUGUAUCAUUGAAAAUGUCCUGACAGGAAACAUAACUGCCUGGUACGGAAAUAGCAUAGAACAGGACCGCAAGUCCCUGUAAAAAGAGGUCUGUUUUGCUGAACACACAAUGGGAGGUGCCCCACGCUGCUUCAAUGAUAUUUAACACCAGGUGUUGCAAGAAAAAGGCCAGGAGAAUCAUUAAAGAUCCAAAGCAUCCAUGUAACAGCCUUUACUCCCUGUUGAGGUCGGGUAGAAGGUAUCGGAUACACCAGGCCAGCACUGAGAGGCUCAGGAGGAGCUUUUACCCUGAGGCCACUAGGAUCCUAAAUGCCUAAGGCUGAAAUAAUUUAAAGGCAAAAAGUGCUGGCAUCAAACUCUGAGUCAAACUGUUGUUCUUUCUUCUCUUUGACAAUAAAAAAUGUAAAAGUCA